UACGUAGGGGGCUAGCGUUGUCCGGAUUUAUUGGGCGUAAAGAGCGUGUAGGCGGCCAGGUAGGUCUGCUGUGAAAACUCGAGGCUCAACCUCGAGACGUCGGCGGAAACCAUCUGGCUAGAGUCCGGAAGAGGAGAGUGGAAUUCCUGGUGUAGCGGUGAAAUGCGCAGAUAUCGGGAAGAACACCCUGUGGCGGAAGGCGGCUCUCGUGGACGGUACUGGACGCUGAGACGCGAAAGCGUGGGGAGCGAACAGG
This 256-nucleotide ribosomal RNA is filed under the name uncultured bacterium. RNAcentral's name for it is "partial 16S ribosomal RNA". It matches the Rfam family "Bacterial small subunit ribosomal RNA", at positions 524 to 776 of the family's 1533-position model. The record is from RNAcentral.